Long non-coding RNA from Capra hircus (goat), 1274 nucleotides. RefSeq annotates it as neurogranin. NCBI's taxonomy places the organism in Eukaryota, Metazoa, Chordata, Mammalia, Artiodactyla, Bovidae. The transcript is spliced from 4 exons. The record is from RefSeq and is a predicted model, not a curated record.
UCUCUUCCGCAGGGCUCAGGAUACUUUCUCCAGCAGUGCGGAGCGCGGGAGAGAGGACCCGAGAGCUGAGCGGCUGGUUCGGCGCGGAUCGGCUGCCUCGCCACCGCCCCAGGGUCCCCACCCGUCACCGCGCAGACCCUCUGCGCCAACCUCCAUCCCAGCCAAGGACUCCUGACAUCAAACAUGGACUGCUGCACCGAGAGCGCCUGCUCCAAGCCGGACGACGACAUUCUAGACAUCCCUCUGGAUGAUCCGGGUGCCAACGCGGCCGCUGCCAAAAUCCAGGCGAGUUUCCGGGGCCACAUGGCGAGGAAGAAGAUAAAGAGCGGAGAGCGCGGCCGGAAAGGCCCGGGCCCCGGGGGACCAGGCGGAGCUGGGGGCGCCCGGGGAGGCGCGGGCGGCGGCCCCAGCGGAGACUAGGCCAGGACUGAGCAUUUUCGAAGUUUCCCGAGACAGAUGGAUGCCGCGUCCCCUUCGCAGUGACGAGACUUCCCUGCCGUGUCUGUGAUUCUCUCCUUUCCACCAACCUGCCAGCUUCAGGAGCCCUCUCUGCUUCCCCCAGAGACUCCCUCUCCCAGGAACACCGUCCAUCAGUCGCUAAGGCCGUGCCCUUUUAGUUAGCUCUCCAGUCUAGUAUGGUCCCCGUUCGCCCUUCCUCCCCACCCUGACCCCCCCAUCCUCGCGCCCCCAAAUCUUCCUUCUUUAGCUUCUCGCCCACCUCUCCCCGCACCCAGCAUGCAGCUCUCUCUCCGCAGCCUCCGCGUGCUUCCCUUCGCGCACUGCGGAGGGCGCCCUAAGCGUGGCCCAAGAACACUCCAAAAAAAAAAAAAAAAAAAGAAAGAAAUCCUUUAGUUCCACGCGCAGCUAAAGGGGGCGCCCGUGCGUCUCUGCUGCGCCGCUCACGCCCCAGCCUAGUCCAGAACUUCGGGGCGAGGAGAGAGGGGAGGAGGGUUUUUAUGAUGUCGGAUGCCCCUGGCGGUGAUCAGAAGGGAAGUUGCCAUGUCACGCCCCAACCCCACGCCUGCCUGUACUCAGCCCUCCCCUCUCCCCAGCGUACCCCGAGAGCCACCUCUCCAGCUCUCAGCUUGUUUACGCGAACGCGGAGCGCGGGGGCGGCUCGGUAGGAGGAGUCUCCCGCGGCCCCGCCCCUGCUCCUGCUGGCCCCGCCCCUACGGGCUCCUGGGGCUGUGGCCGGGAGGGUUUUUAUCUCCGUGUGUGCAUGUGACUGUGCUGGGUUGGAAUGUGAACAAUAAAGAGGAAUGUCCAAGUGUUCA